Molecule: long non-coding RNA, 1416 nt
Organism: Labrus mixtus (cuckoo wrasse)
Lineage: Eukaryota; Metazoa; Chordata; Actinopteri; Labriformes; Labridae
Exons: 5
Source: RefSeq, a predicted model, not a curated record
ACAAAUUGGCUCCACAGACUUCUUGUGGAGGUUUUACUUGGAGACUGGCAGGAAGAAAAUCUGAAAAAGGUCAGGGUGAAAAAUGUGUUUGUUUGUGUUCAUGCAUGAAGCUCAUUCUGAAAAUGUUGGGGCAUUUUAAAGGAGCUUUGUGCGAGCAGGGCUUAAGAUCUUCAGAUAUAGCAGAAAUAAUCUGAUGGCAAUAAACAAAACAUGCACGGUUGUUUAAGUCCAUGUGUCUUAUAGAAAUAUAGUAUUAUGUUGUUGUAUUUUCCUCACUUUGUGGUUGAAAUAUGUAGUUGGACCUGCAUGAAACCCUGAAGCAGGACUGCAGUGCUGCUGAGGAGGCAAAAAGAGGACCGCCUUCCUCCUGCCAAUCAUCCCCUUCAGCGGUGCCCUACCUGAGCGUCCACAGUCCGCACAGGAGAUUAGGUCUUCAGGACAGCCGGUCUUCUUUGAGCCCCCAAGGCAGAAGUCACAGUAGCCGUUGGCGAUCACUGAGCCGUCUGCUGCUUUCUUGGCUGGAAGACAGAAAGUGAAAAAAAAGAUUUAGAAGCCAUUGAUGCAUUUAGACUGACCAGAUUCAAACAACUGCAGAAUCCUAAACUUCAUACACACCGAUUCAUCGCCCUGGACCGGUCCACCACUAUGACUCACCAUGCAGGACAGAAGCAUCAGCAAAUACAACAGAGUGGACUGCACAGAUUGAGACUCAGGGCCUGGAAUCAAUACAACAACCCGACUCUGGCUGGUCGAUAAUCCCAUCCUGUGGCCUGUCGCAGUGGAGGCCCUCAUCAACUUAGUGUGUCUUUCUGGAGGGAAUAACCUCUGCCUCCACACACACAAACAAACAGGCCGACCUGUUGACUCUCCUCACUUUGUCUUUGACUUUACUUCUUCUUUUUCUUUCUUAAUUUGCUCGAUGUAGUGUCGCACAGAUUCUGAAAAUUUUUGCCGACACAAUUAAGUCGAUUGAUAACUCGGAUACCAGCAAUUUUGUCAUCACUUCUUCGUAUUUCUUUGUGUCUGUUUUCCAAAUAAACUGAGAUUUGAUGUAUUUAAAUCCUCUUGAAAUGUCUCUGGAACAUGUCUUACAAACCGCAUGCUGCGUCCGGACUCCAUCACUGCCGACAUUUUCUUUCAUGUUUCACCAUUAAAAAAAAAAAGCAGAUCCUCCAACAGGUGACGUCUUCUGCCCAAAAUAAAAAGUAGCUUCUCUGAAUCGGCAGUUAGGUGUACUAGUUUGCCGCAGCAAAUUGAUUUGACACAACGAAUACAGAUCGGUUACUGACAGCGGCCUGCUGAUACUGAUGUUUAACCGAUGUAUUGUGCAUCCCGUUGCCAUCGCUAGAAAAGUGCAAACAUUGGUAAAUCAAGGCUAAUGCUGUGAUGGGAAUUAAAAAACAACAUUUGAGAGUG